CAGUAGCCGCGGUAACACGAAGGGGGCUAGCGUUGCUCGGAAUGACUGGGCGUAAAGGGCGCGUAGGCGGUUUGCCAAGUUAGAUGCGAAAUUCCCGGGCUUAACCUGGGGACUGCAUUUGAUACUGGCAGGCUUGAGUGUGGAAGAGGGUCGUGGAAUUCCCAGUGUAGAGGUGAAAUUCGUAGAUAUUGGAAGAACACCGGUGGCGAAGGCGGCGACCUGGUCCAUAACUGACGCUGAGGCGCGAAAGCGUGGGGAGCAAACAGGAUUAGAUACCCGCGUAGUCCCUGUCUCUUAUACA
RNAcentral lists this ribosomal RNA (301 nucleotides) under uncultured bacterium. RNAcentral's name for it is "partial 16S ribosomal RNA". It matches the Rfam family "Bacterial small subunit ribosomal RNA", at positions 509 to 808 of the family's 1533-position model. The record is from RNAcentral.